Molecule: ribosomal RNA, 465 nt
Filed under: uncultured bacterium
Lineage: Bacteria
Description: partial 16S ribosomal RNA
Rfam family: Bacterial small subunit ribosomal RNA
Source: RNAcentral
GACGAACGCUGGCGGCGUGCUUAACACAUGCAAGUCGAACGGAAAGGCCCCUUCGGGGGUACUCGAGUGGCGAACGGGUGAGUAACACGUGAGUAACCUGCCCUUGACUUCGGGAUAACUUCAGGAAACUGGGGCUAAUACCGGAUAGGAAUCCUUGCUGCAUGGUGGGGGUUGGAAAGCUUCGGCGGGUUUGGAUGGACCCGCGGCUUAUCAGCUUGUUGGUGGGGUAGUGGCUCACCAAGGCUUUGACGGGUAGCCGGCCUGAGAGGGCGACCGGCCACAUUGGGGCCGAGAUACGGCCCAGACUCCUAAGGGGGGCAGGAGUGGGGAAUAUUGCAAAAUGGGCGGGAGCCUGAUGCAGCGACGCCGCGGGCGGGAUGACGGCCUUCGGGUUGGAAACCGCUUUCAGCAGGGGCGAAGCUUGUGGUGACGGUACCUGCGGAAGAAGCACCGGCUAACUACGUG